AACGUAGGAGACAAACGUUAUCCGGAGUUACUGGGCGUAAAGGGCGUGUAGGCGGUCUGUUAAGUCUAGCGUGAAAGCUCUCGGCUAAACCGGGAGAGGUCGUUGGAUACUGGCAGACUGGAGGAUGGUAGAGGCGUGUGGAAUUCCGGGUGUAGUGGUGAAAUGCGUAGAGAUCCGGAGGAACACCAGUGGCGAAGGCGACACGCUGGGCCAUACCUGACGCUAAAGCGCGACAGCGUGGGGAGCAAACAGG
RNAcentral lists this ribosomal RNA (253 nucleotides) under uncultured bacterium. RNAcentral's name for it is "partial 16S ribosomal RNA". It matches the Rfam family "Bacterial small subunit ribosomal RNA", at positions 524 to 776 of the family's 1533-position model. The record is from RNAcentral.